RNAcentral lists this ribosomal RNA (301 nucleotides) under uncultured bacterium. Its description in RNAcentral is "partial 16S ribosomal RNA". It matches the Rfam family "Bacterial small subunit ribosomal RNA", at positions 509 to 807 of the family's 1533-position model. The record is from RNAcentral.
CAGUCGCCGCGGUAAUACGAAGGGUGCAAGCGUUACUCGGAAUUACUGGGCGUAAAGCGUGCGUAGGUGGUUGUUUAAGUCUGCUGUGAAAGCCCUGGGCUCAACCUGGGAAUUGCAGUGGAUACUGGGCAACUAGAGUAAGGUAGAGGAUAGUGGAAUUUCCGGUGUAGCAGUGAAAUGCGUAGAGAUCGGAAGGAACAUCUGUGGCGAAGGCGACUAUCUGGGCCAUUACUGACACUGAGGCACGAAAGCGUGGGGAGCAAACAGGAUUAGAUACCCGUGUAGUCCCUUUCUCUUAUAC